This 236-nucleotide ribosomal RNA is filed under the name uncultured bacterium. RNAcentral describes it as "partial 16S ribosomal RNA". It matches the Rfam family "Bacterial small subunit ribosomal RNA", at positions 118 to 350 of the family's 1533-position model. The record is from RNAcentral.
UGAGUAACCUGCCCUUCACUCUGGGAUAACUCCGGGAAACCGGGGCUAAUACUGGAUAUGACUCGAACAGGCAUCUGUUUCGGGUGGAAAGAUUUUAUUGGUGGAGGAUGGACUCGCGGCCUAUCAGCUUGUUGGUGAGGUAAUGGCUCACCAAGGCGACGACGGGUAGCCGGCCUGAGAGGGCGAUCGGCCACACGUGGGACUGGGACACGGCCCAGACCUCCGUACGGGGAGCA